Molecule: non-coding RNA, 954 nt
Filed under: Malapterurus electricus (electric catfish)
Lineage: Eukaryota; Metazoa; Chordata; Actinopteri; Siluriformes; Malapteruridae
Description: 12S rRNA
Rfam family: Bacterial small subunit ribosomal RNA
Source: RNAcentral
CAAAGGCUUGGUCCUAGCCUUACUAUCAGCUUUAGCCCAAAUUAUACAUGCAAGUAUCCGCACCCCCGUGAGAAUGCCCUCAUUCCCCUGCCCGAGGAAGAGGAGCGGGCAUCAGGCACACCCUACCUUGGCCCAAGACGCCUUGCUACGCCACACCCCCAAGGGAAUUCAGCAGUAAUAAAUAUUAAGACAUGAGCGAAAGCUCGACUUAGUUAAGGCUAAAAGGGUCGGUAAAAUUCGUGCCAGCCACCGCGGUUAUACGAAAGACCCUAGUUGAUACUUACGGCGUAAAGAGUGGUUAAGGUCCCAAACAAAUAGAGCUAAAGAUCCUCUAAGCAGUCAUACGCACUACGAGGACGCGAGACCCUUACACGAAAGUAGCUUUAAAAUUCUUAGCCUGACCCCACGAAAGUUAAGUAACAAACUGGGAUUAGAUACCCCACUAUGCUUAACCCUAAACCUUGAUGUAUCCCCACAACUACAUCCGCCAGGGUACUACGAGCACAGCUUAAAACCCAAAGGACUUGGCGGUGUCUCAGACCCACCUAGAGGAGCCUGUUCUAGAACCGAUAACCCCCGUUAAACCUCACCACUCCUUGUUUUACCCGCCUAUAUACCGCCGUCGUCAGCUUACCCUGUGAAGGCACAACAGUAAGCAAAAUAGAUUCACCCAAAAACGUCAGGUCGAGGUGUAGCGUACGAAGUGGAAAGAAAUGGGCUACAUUUUCUUAACACUAAGAAAAUUACGAACGGCACACUGAAAAUAGUGCCCGAAGGUGGAUUUAGUAGUAAAAAGCAAGCAGAGUGUCCUUUUGAAUUAGGCUCUGAGACGCGCACACACCGCCCGUCACUCUCCCCUCCACACCCACUAAACAUCACUAAUAAAUUAAUCAGCCAACACGGGGAGGCAAGUCGUAACAUGGUAAGUGUACCGGAAGGUGCACUUGGAAUAAU